GAUGAACGCUGGCGGCGUGCCUAACACAUGCAAGUCGAGCGAACGGACGAGAAGCUUGCUCGUCUGAUGUUAGCGGCGGACGGGUGAGUAACACGUGGAUAACCUAACUAUAAGACUGGGAUAACUUCGGGAAACCGGAGCUAAUACCGGAUAAUAUUUUGAACAGCAUGGUUCAAAAGUGAAAGACGGUCUUGCUGUCACUUAUAGAUGGAUCCGCGCUGCAUUAGAUAGUUGGUAAGGUAACGGCUUACCAAGGCAACGAUGCAUAGCCGACCUGAAAGCGAGAUUGCACACACUGGCACUGAGACUCGGUCGAGACUCCUGCAGGGGGACGCAGUCGGGAAUCUUCCGCAAUGGACGAAAGCCUGACGGAGCAACACCGCGUGAGUGCUGAAGGACUUAUGCUCGUAAAACUCUGUUAUUAAGAAGGAACAAAUGUGUAAGUAACUGUGCAAAUCUUGACGGUACCGGAUCAGAAAGCAACGGCUAACUACGUG
This 497-nucleotide ribosomal RNA is filed under the name uncultured bacterium. RNAcentral describes it as "partial 16S ribosomal RNA". It matches the Rfam family "Bacterial small subunit ribosomal RNA", at positions 28 to 507 of the family's 1533-position model. The record is from RNAcentral.